AGAUAAAUUAACUAUGAAAUAUUAUGUUUCCUUGACCUAAUUUAAUCAAAGUGGUGAUCUUCAUGGCAGGUAUAAUCCAAGAAAAUUUGCCGACGAGGAUGAUGAUAGUGACAUGGAGGCAAACUACGAAGAUAUUAUGAGGGAGGAGCAAAGGAGCGCAAGAAUUGCUAGAAAAGAGGAUGAAGAAGAACUCCGCAAAAUAGAGGAAGAAGAGAGGAGGGAGCGUUUGAGAAAAGAGGCAAAGAAGCGUAAGCUAAGCCAACGAUGAUUAGCUGGUACACAAAAUUUUGUUUGUCGCUAAUUCCUUGUUGUCUAAUUAGCUGAAGUAACAAAAAGAAAAAAGGGAAAUUUUUUUUUCUCCGACCAUCUUUUCUUUUAACUUCUCAGAGUAGAUGCUGCUGCUGAAUUUUAUUGAACUUUUUCAUUUGUUGAAAAAGUGCCGACUGUAGUUAUAGUUUUAAUUUUUGUUAUGGCCGAGGUGGUUUUUUAUUUGAUUUAUAGAUUGAUUA
This is a non-coding RNA of Camellia sinensis, 509 nucleotides long. NCBI's taxonomy places the organism in Eukaryota, Viridiplantae, Streptophyta, Magnoliopsida, Ericales, Theaceae. The record is from RefSeq and is a predicted model, not a curated record.